GGGCUGAUAUUAAUUAAUUCAAGUGAAGAGAGAAGCAAGGAGCAGACAUGAGUGGAAUAAGCAAGCAGCUCAGGUAGUGAGACGUCACAGGGAGUUAUGAAUGGGGGAAAGGGGAACAAAUAGCCAGUGAUCAACAAGCCAUAGCAGGAGCCAGAGUAACUGAGGAUAAUUCUCAUGAUUCCUAAGUUGUCUUAUAUGUCGGUGGUUAUGGUGAACAGCCAUCAUAUUCCAGAAGUUCCAAAGAUGCAUUUUAAAGGCUAGUCAAGUGAAGCAGUGGAAGUGGAGAAGAAACGAAGAAAUCUGUAACUGGUCAUGAUCAAUUAGUUGUAAACAUCACUUCACUCGGACCAGACUAUUAAAUCAUUAAUAUGCUUAAGUUAUAAUAUUUAAAUAUUUUCACCUUGUUUGUUUAUAAUCUCUAAUCAGCCUAUGAAAAAACACUUUCACCACGGGUAAUUUUUAAAAAUCUGCCUUUAUAACAUCUUACUUAACUGUUUCCUGCUUCUUUUUUGGCUUGAGACAAGGACUUGAAAAAUUUCUCAGGAGAAGGGGUUGUGUAAGAUAAAAAAACAACUUCAGGUCAGACAGUGCUUCAGGACUAUGGUAUAAAUCAGGGAUAUGGUUGAACACAUCACAGAAUAGGAGAAUCUCAGAUUGAGUUUAAAGGAAACAGAGAUCAUCCUAUCGAGGAGCUGGCAGUUACAAACCAGGUAGAUUAUCAGGCAAGGAGGAGGCAAGUAAAGAAGGUAAAGGUUAUGGGAGGGCCAAUGACAAUACAUACCUGGGCUACACAUUGCA
Non-coding RNA from Macaca mulatta (Rhesus monkey), 798 nucleotides. The record is from RefSeq and is a predicted model, not a curated record. NCBI's taxonomy places the organism in Eukaryota, Metazoa, Chordata, Mammalia, Primates, Cercopithecidae.